GACACGAUGGCCGAGCGGUUGAGGCGUCAGGUUGCUACCAUGACAUGUGGAUCUUGAUACGGUUUCCGUGCGUGGGUUCAAAUCCCACUCGUGUCU
Tulasnella sp. 427 is the source of this 96-nucleotide non-coding RNA. The record is from the annotation of a GenBank genome assembly. Lineage: Eukaryota; Fungi; Basidiomycota; Agaricomycetes; Cantharellales; Tulasnellaceae.